AUUGAACGCUGGCGGCAGGCCUAACACAUGCAAGUCGAGCGGAUGAAGGGAGCUUGCUCCUGGCUUCAGCGGAGGACGGGUGUGUAAUGCCUAGGAAUCUGCCUGGUAGUGGGGGAUAACGUCCGGAAACGGGCGCUAAUACCGCAUACGUCCUGAGGGAGAAAGUGGGGGAUCUUAGGACCUCACGCUAUCAGAUGAGCCUAGGUCGGAUUAGCUAGUUGGUGGGGUAAAGGCCUACCAAGGCGACGAUCCGUAACUGGUCUGAGAGGAUGAUCAGUCACACUGGGACUGAGACGCGGUCCAGACUCCUACGGGAGGCAGCGAUUGGGAAGAGUGGACGAAGGGGGAAAGCCUGAUCCAUGCAUGCCGGGUGUGUGAAGAAGGUCUUCGGAUUGUAAAGCACUUUAAGUGGGGAGGAAGGGCAGUAAGUUAAUACCUGGCUGUUGUGACGUUACCAACAGAAUAAGCACCGGCUAACUUCGUG
This 484-nucleotide ribosomal RNA is filed under the name uncultured bacterium. Its description in RNAcentral is "partial 16S ribosomal RNA". It matches the Rfam family "Bacterial small subunit ribosomal RNA", at positions 30 to 507 of the family's 1533-position model. The record is from RNAcentral.